Nicotiana tabacum (common tobacco) is the source of this 1711-nucleotide RNA transcript. It is a transcript of the gene named serine/arginine-rich splicing factor SR30, with no coding region annotated. The record is from RefSeq and is a predicted model, not a curated record. NCBI's taxonomy places the organism in Eukaryota, Viridiplantae, Streptophyta, Magnoliopsida, Solanales, Solanaceae.
AUAUAUAUAUAUAUAUAAUAUAAAGUUCAGUUCAUGUGUUAAUACCACUUGUUUUUCGUCUGCUGCAAUUUUUUCUUUCUCCGCAAUCUCUAGUGUUGGAUCCUACAGGCAUAAUGGGUCGGUUAAGUCGGACUAUCUAUGUGGGCAAUCUUCCUGGUGAUAUUCGUGAGAGAGAAGUAGAAGAUUUGUUUUACAAGUAUGGGCAUAUCGUGGAAAUUGAGUUGAAAGUUCCUCCUAGACCACCUGGUUAUGCAUUUGUAGAGUUUGAAGAUUCUCGUGAUGCUGAUGAUGCCAUCCGUGGGCGCGAUGGCUAUGACUUUGAUGGACAUCGAUUACGAGUUGAACUUGCUCACGGUGGGCAAGGAUCAUCAUCAUAUGAUCGCCACAGCAGUUAUAGUAGUGGGAGUCGUGGUGGAGUUUCUAGGCGCUCAGACCAUCGCGUUCUGAUCUCUGGACUACCAUCUUCUGCUUCAUGGCAAGACUUGAAGGAUCACAUGCGCCGAGCAGGAGAUGUCUGUUUCUCUCAAGUUUUUCGAGGCCGUGACGGUAUGAGGGGGAUUGUGGACUAUACCAACUAUGAAGAUAUGAAAUAUGCGAUAAGGAAACUUGAUGACUCUCUCUUUCGCAAUCAGUUCUCUCGAGCGUAUAUUAGGGUGGAGGAGUAUGAUAAGAGACGUAGCUAUUCCAGGAGCCCAAGCCCAUAUUAUUCAAGAGGCAGAGUUUAUUCAAGAAGCAGGAGUCCUCGACGGAGCUAUAGCAGCCAGAGAGAAGUGUGUCUCCUAGGGGUAAAUACUCUCGUCGCUCCGCGUCUGUCUCACGCUCAAGGUCUUUUUCCCCUGCUCGCUCUGUUUCUAGAUCUUGCAUUUCGUGGCGAUCUGGGGAUUGCUUUUUAGGCAGGUGAUGUCCAAUGGUGCUCAAAUUCAGGCAACUCGCUUGGAUGUGGCAGUAAUCUGUUUUAGUGGAUGAGCACCUCUGGUAAACUCAGGAUGGUAAACUGUAUUUUAAUAUGGUAUUAAGGUGGAUCUUACUCAAAGCAAUAUAUCAAAUUGUUUUUGGGCUAAUCCCGAGGGUUCUGAACGUGGGAACACUAUUGAAUAGACAAAUAAAAACUUAAUUUGUUUUUUAGAGCGUGGGGGGCGGUGCAUGCAUUUGUAUGGUAUGACCUCACAACUUGGACGGACAAUCUCCAGGAAGUGCGUUGCGAUUGGUUUUUGUUUCAAUUUGAUCAUGUUGGUUGAUUGAUAUUAUAGAUUGCUGGCAGCUGUUGCUAACUACUUUGAUUGUGGACGUGGAAGUAGCAUGGAUUCAUUUGGAUCAAAGAUCUCAAUCACGAUCCAGAUCUCCACUGUCACCUCCACAUCGUCGGAGGCAUGCAAGGAGCCCAAGCAGGAGUCGGAGCAGGAGCUUCUCUUAUUCUCGUUCAUCGGGGAUAUCCGACUGAGACUUUCCAAGAAACAAAGGGCAAACUGAAGCCAAAUUCAGUAGUACUUUGCAGACUUGUUGGAUGUUAAGGGAAUUGGCUUUUAGCUUAAUGUUUACUUUCGUUAAAUUCUUCAGUUGUCACAUUUAGAAAUCAAGCUUUGAGUUCUAGCUAGCUAGUUGCACUUCCUAGAAACUGUUUUGGGUUAAUAGCCAUGUAUGCCUUUUGAACUGCUGAGUGAAAAUUGAGGACGAUUAAUAUGUGUUAUAUUUUAUCUGUGAUUGUCACCCA